This 697-nucleotide ribosomal RNA is filed under the name uncultured bacterium. RNAcentral's name for it is "bacterial SSU rRNA". It matches the Rfam family "Bacterial small subunit ribosomal RNA", at positions 140 to 851 of the family's 1533-position model. The record is from RNAcentral.
GGGAUAACAUUUGGAAACAGAUGCUAAUACCGCAUAAGAUUACAGUACCGCAUGAUACAGUGAUCAAAGGAGCAAUCCGCUGAAAGAUGGGCUCGCGUCCGAUUAGAUAGUUGGUGAGGUAACGGCUCACCAAGUCGACGAUCGGUAGCCGGACUGAGAGGUUGAACGGCCACAUUGGGACUGAGACACGGCCCAGACUCCUACGGGAGGCAGCAGUGGGGAAUAUUGCACAAUGGGCGAAAGCCUGAUGCAGCAACGCCGCGUGAGGGAAGACGGUUUUCGGAUUGUAAACCUCUGUUUUCGGUGACGAAUAAAUGACGGUAACCGAGUAGGAAGCCACGGCUAACUACGUGCCAGCAGCCGCGGUAAUACGUAGGUGGCAAGCGUUAUCCGGAAUUACUGGGUGUAAAGGGAGCGCAGGCGGGAUAGCAAGUCAGUUGUGAAAACUAUGGGCUCAACCCAUAGAUUGCAGUUGAAACUGUUAUUCUUGAGUGGAGUAGAGGCAAGCGGAAUUCCGAGUGUAGCGGUGAAAUGCGUAGAUAUUCGGAGGAACACCAGUGGCGAAGGCGGCUUGCUGGGCUCUAACUGACGCUGAGGCUCGAAAGUGUGGGGAGCAAACAGGAUUAGAUACCCUGGUAGUCCACACUGUAAACGAUGAUAGCUAGGUGUGGGGGGUCUGACCCCCUCCGUGCCGGAG